RNAcentral lists this ribosomal RNA (1973 nucleotides) under human gut metagenome. RNAcentral describes it as "bacterial LSU rRNA". It matches the Rfam family "Bacterial large subunit ribosomal RNA", at positions 3 to 1984 of the family's 2925-position model. The record is from RNAcentral.
UUAAGUUAUUAAGGGCGCAUGGUGGAUGCCUUGGCACUAGGAGCCGAUGAAGGACGGGACUAACACCGAUAUGCUUCGGGGAGCUGUAAGUAAGCUUUGAUCCGGAGAUUUCCGAAUGGGGGAACCCAACUUGUUAUGCAAGUUAUCACCUAAUGAAUAUAUAGUUAGGUUGAAGGUAGACGUUGUGAACUGAAACAUCUCAUUAGCAACAGGAAUAGAAAGAAAAAUCGAUACCGUCAGUAGCGGCGAGCGAAAUCGGUAGAGCCCAAACCAAAGUGCUUGCACUUUGGGGUUGUAGGACUGACAUUGUGGAGUUACAAAGUUAGCAUUUAGCAGAAUCAGCUGGGAAGCUGAGCGAGACAGGGUGAUAGCCCCGUAUGCGAAAAGUGUUGACCUCCCGUCAGGAUCCUGAGUACGGCCGGACACGUGAAAUCCGGUCGGAAUCCGCGAGGACCAUCUCGCAAGGCUAAAUACUCCCUAGUGACCGAUAGUGAACCAGUACCGUGAGGGAAAGGUGAAAAGCACCCCGGAAGGGGAGUGAAAAAGUUCCUGAAACCAUGUGCCUACAAGAAGUUAGAGCCCGUUAAUGGGUGAUAGCGUGCCUUUUGUAGAAUGAACCGGCGAGUUACGAUACCAUGCAAGGUUAAGGUGGAAAGACCGGAGCCGUAGCGAAAGCGAGUCUGAAAUGGGCGAAUUAGUAUGUUGUUGUAGACCCGAAACCAGGUGACCUACCCAUGUCCAGGGUGAAGGUGCGGUAAAACGCACUGGAGGCCCGAACCCGUGCAUGUUGAAAAAUGCUGGGAUGAGGUGUGGGUAGCGGUGAAAUUCCAAUCGAACUUGGAGAUAGCUGGUUCUCUCCGAAAUAGCUUUAGGGCUAGCCUCGGAAUGUAGCGUGUUGGAGGUAGAGCACUGUUUUGGUGCGGGGCCCAUCUCGGGUUACCAAAUUAAGAUAAACUCCGAAUGCCAAUCACGUAUGUCCGGGAGUCAGACAGUGAGUGAUAAGAUCCAUUGUCGAAAGGGGAACAGCCCAGAUCGUCAGUUAAGGUCCCUAAGUGUGUGUUAAGUGGAAAAGGAUGUGGAGUUGCAUAGACAACUAGGAUGUUGGCUCAGAAGCAGCCACCAUUUAAAGAGUGCGUAAUAGCUCACUAGUCGAGUGAUUCUGCGCCGAAAAUGUACCGGGGCUAAACACACCACCGAAACUACGGGUGCCACGUAAGUGGCGCGAUAGGAGAGCGUUCUAAGGGCGAUGAAGUCAGACCGUGAGGACUGGUGGAGCGCUUAGAAGUGAGAAUGCCGGUAUGAGUAGCGAAAGACAGGUGAGAAUCCUGUCCACCGUAUGACUAAGGUUUCCUGGGGAAGGCUCGUCCUCCCAGGGUUAGUCGGGACCUAAGGCGAGGCCGAAAGGCGUAGUCGAUGGAUAACAGGUUGAGAUUCCUGUACCAGGUGAACAUGUUUGAACGAUGGAGGGACGCAGAAGGCUAACGGAUCCCAGCUGCUGGAUAUGCUGGGUUAAAUAAUAAGUCUUAGAUCGAGUUAAAUGCUUUAUCUUUUAAGGACAAGUUAUGAUGAGGACCGAAAUAAAGUAGGGAAGUCCGUGAUGUCACGCUGCCGAGAAAAGCUUCUAGUUAGUGUUUACCUGCCCGUACCGCAAACCGACACAGGUAGUCGAGGAGAGCAUCCUAAGGUGAGCGAGUGAACUCUCGUUAAGGAACUCGGCAAAAUGACCCCGUAACUUCGGGAGAAGGGGUGCUCAGCGAAAGCUGAGCCGCAGUGAAUAGGCCCAGGCGACUGUUUAUCAAAAACACAGGUUUCUGCAAAAUCGUAAGAUGACGUAUAGGGGCUGACGCCUGCCCGGUGCUGGAAGGUUAAAAGGAGUGCUUAGCUUCGGCGAAGGUACGAAUUGAAGCCCCAGUAAACGGCGGCCGUAACUAUAACGGUCCUAAGGUAGCGAAAUUCCUUGUCGGGUAAGUUCC